UUUUAUAUGAGAGUUUGAUCCUGGCUCAGGACGAACGCUGGCGGCAUGCCUAAUACAUGCAAGUCGAACGCACGAAUUUGAAAA
RNAcentral lists this ribosomal RNA (84 nucleotides) under Carnobacterium divergens. Its description in RNAcentral is "partial 16S ribosomal RNA". It matches the Rfam family "Bacterial small subunit ribosomal RNA", at positions 1 to 82 of the family's 1533-position model. The record is from RNAcentral. Lineage: Bacteria; Bacillati; Bacillota; Bacilli; Lactobacillales; Carnobacteriaceae.